GCAGUUCCCAUUGGCUGGGAACUGCAGCCAAUGGGAGAUGCAGGGGUGGUACCUGUGGGCAACAGUAGGCAGAGACCCUGUGUGCUGUGUCCCCCCCUUAGGAGCUGCUGCCUGAGGAGUGUGUUGGUUGCUUUUGGGAGCCACUCAAGGGUUUUAUUCGUUUUUAUCAAAUGUUGGAAGGCCCAUGCAAACCCAGUCAGAUUACACGGCAAGGAAGCAACAUUCCUGCACCUUUUUUCUAAAUGAGAUGGUGCCUCAAGCUAAAGAAUCCUGGGCACAAUUUCAACCCAAGUCUACAAAGAUGAAAAGCAGAUUUCCCAGUCUCACAGAACUGCUAAUUGCAACAGCAUUUUUAAAAACUAGUGAUGACAGAAAACACUGUGAGUUGCUGAGCGUGAUCUCUUUCUGAAGACAGUGCAGUCCCUAAACUUCAGUCCUCAGGCUAAAUGCAAAAGAUUGUUAGAUAUACUCAAACCUUUUAGUAUUUUGCUAUACACAUAUCCCCAAUCUUCACUUUCUGAAAAGGUUAAUGGGAUCUCUGCAAGAUCAAAUGUUUAUAUGACAGUGGAUUAACCUUUACAGUUAAAUCAGUUUCUUGCAAAUGUAAGCAGGGAUACCUUAUUAUCCAAUAGGGUCAGCAGUUCAAGUCUUCAUUAACUAAGUGCUAAAUUACAGUAAUAAUCAUAUAAUUUUAUACCAUAC
Molecule: long non-coding RNA, 702 nt
Organism: Mauremys mutica (yellowpond turtle)
Lineage: Eukaryota; Metazoa; Chordata; Testudines; Geoemydidae
Exons: 3
Source: RefSeq, a predicted model, not a curated record